Molecule: ribosomal RNA, 420 nt
Filed under: bacterium
Lineage: Bacteria
Description: partial 16S ribosomal RNA
Rfam family: Bacterial small subunit ribosomal RNA
Source: RNAcentral
UGGGGGAUAUUGCACAAUGGGCGAAAGCCUGAUGCAGCGACGCCGCGUGGGGGAUGAAGGCUUUCGGGUUGUAAACCUCUUUCGCUAUCGAACAAGGCCCGCUUAGGGUGGGUUGAGGGUAGGUGGAGAAGAAGCGCCGGCUAACUACGUGCCAGCAGCCGCGGUAAUACGCAGGGCGCGAGCGUUGUCCGGAAUUAUUGGGCGUAAAGGGCUUGUAGGCGGCUUGUUGCGCCUGCUGUGAAAACGCGGGGCUUAACUUCGCGCGUGCAGUGGGUACGGGCAGGCUUGAGUGUGGUAGGGGUGACUGGAAUUCCAGGUGUAGCGGUGGAAUGCGCAGAUAUCUGGAGGAACACCGAUGGCGAAGGCAGGUCACUGGGCCAUUACUGACGCUGAGGAGCGAAAGCAUGGGUAGCGAACAGG